This is a non-coding RNA of Myodes glareolus (Bank vole), 2579 nucleotides long. The record is from RefSeq and is a predicted model, not a curated record. Lineage: Eukaryota; Metazoa; Chordata; Mammalia; Rodentia; Cricetidae.
UCCACCGUAACCGCCCGCCUGACUCCCCUGGCCGCAUGGCGCUGCAGGGACUCACGGCCAUCCUUGUAGGACUCCGCGAGCCACCCGGGGCCAUCCCAUUAUCAUUAUUUUAAAAAAAGAACAAUACAUACCUUUACUUAAAAUGUUCUGAAAUAAUUUUUGGUGAUAUUUUUAAAAAGUUCAGUUGUGAUUCUCCCCCGUAGACAACAAUGUUGUAUUGUGAUAACAAAAGGAACACUUCUGGAAGCAGUUAUAGAUUUGGGACCUCCACUCUGUUCAUGUUUCCAGGAGACUUUGCAGAGAACAAGCACUUUCCUUUGUCAGGUAUAUGCGAAGCUUCCAGAAACACUUGGCUCAGCUGCUAGCUCCUUUGAUCUGUUCUCAGAAGCUCUGAAGAGGAAUUUGGAAUGUGGCAGUAACAAAGCAACUAUCACCAGCGUCGCUCCUGCCUGACAACCUGCACCCGGGAUAUGGUCUAGGUCCUCCUGACUGUCAUCUGUGUCACUGCAAGCAGAGUCUCUGGCUGAUGGUUCCUGCCGAAAUAAAGGCCAGGAGUCCCUGUAGCUCUUGUGCCCAUCAUUUGCUGAGCUGUCAUACAGUUACAUCAUGUACUGAGCUGCACUGUCUACUGGGAUCUGCAUCAUGUCCGACGUUGUGAUCAAAGGACGUUCCAGGGAACUUUGUACUUAGUCAGUGCAAAGCCUGUUUACAUGGCAUUCUGAGCUAAGCCCAUUGGGAAAAACCCCAGUGACUAUCCAACAACAUUGGAUCACAAACAUCUGACAUGAACAAACAGCAGGUUCAAGUUCGGUAUCUGGAAAUGCACGGUGAGACACUGAAAUGGAGAAUCCCAAAGGUAAUGAAGAACUUCAAGUGGCUAAGCAGGCUUUUUUUCCAGAGAAAAAUAUUUGACCUUUUAGUGACAUAGGAGGACAUUUUAGAGAAGUCACAGAAAACAUUUGAUACCAAAGGUCAGAUUUGCUGUGGCAGGGCUAAUGGAACUGGGAAGGUGGGUGAUCAGGAUUUGGAGCAGGUGGACAACUCUGAUAAGCUGUCAGCAUAGCACCGAGACCCACCAGCAGCGCGCUUACUGGGAAAGAAGGAGGAGCUGCAAGUCUCGACUUGGGUUCAAUGCUGCCUUCAGGAACAGGCUGCUGAACCUCUGAGUCUCCAUCUUCUCAGCUAAGAAUCGCAAAGGGUUUUUGGAAGUUUUCAGUGCUGUAAGAAACCUGUGUAGAGCCUGCAGUGUAGUGGGCACCACUUGGAGCAUGCUUAUUUCUCUUGCCUAUCUUGACAUGUUGGCAGUUGUUAAACAACUCAGGCAUGCUCAGUGAUGACACACGGGCAAUUCAACACCCGAUUCACCACUGCCAGGAGCUCUGUAGCUUUAUUUCUCUGGAAAUAAUUUUUAAAAGCAACAACAACCUAAAUUUUAAAAGUCUCAACCUUGCCUUGGUCACAACAAUCAAAACUCACUCUCAAGUGACGCAGCCCCGUUAACAGUCAGCAUAACCAAUCAGUGGGGAAAGACUCGCAAUAAGGAAUGUGUGUUCCUGGAAAGUCUCCAGCCUUGACUGCAACCUGUACUCAUCAAGCAGGUCCUCGCACUGUGACCUUCCAGCCACCAAGUGUUACUCCCACAGACCAAGAGGCACUGUGCAAGGCAUAUGGCACUUCCUGCUUCUGGCUUUUCAUCAAACACAGCCUCUUGGAGAACAACACUUCAGAUUUUAUGACUCAGCCCACUAGAACCUUGAGGAACAAAGCAGUUUCUUUUGUCUGUCUCUGUCCCUUCACAUUCGUCGAUUCUUCUCGGUCCCUCCCUGCAAACCCUCCCAACCCAUCUGUGACACGUGACACGGAGGCAGCACUGAUUUCUAAGGCUUUGCCCGGAUAAAUUCUGGUUUCGAGGCACAAACAGAAAAACUCAUUGUAUUAUAACGCCUCAAAUCUCUCCUUUUGAAAAAGCAAAAGCCAAUUUUGUGCAAGUAAAAAAAAUGAAUCAAAAAUAAAGAAAACUGAACACCAAUGGAAAAGGAUUUUGUAAGCCGUAGCCCAUUGGCAUUUCAUCCAGAGUGGAAGAGGCCCUUUGGUAGAUCUAAGAUGGGUCAUCAUAUUUACAACUUUAUGCUUGGAAAUAAAUUUCUCAGAGGUCAGUUAAAAGUGGUUAAGUCUGCCUUACCCAGAAGGAAGCUGAGAGCAAAGGAAAAUGUGGGAUGAGAUGCUACGGCAUUCCAAACAUCCCAGGCUACUGGCCAGAGUUAUUUAGGAUGUAUGAAGCUAGCUUUCUGAAAGGAAGUGGGAUUAGCUUACAAAUUAGAAAUCUAAGAGCAUGGGAUAAUUCUUUAAGAAGAUCAGCUGCCAGAUAAAUAUGCACAGCAGUAAAAAACAAACAAAAACAUUAGAAAAGGAAUUAAAUAGGAUUGGAGAGAGAGAGAUGGCUGAGUGUUUGCUGUACAAGUGUGGGGUCACGGGUUCAAUCCCUGGUACUGUAUAAUACGUCAGGGUGGUAGCCUGGGAGGUAGUGCUGGUGAGGCAGAUACAGGUAGAUGGUUAGUUGUUCUAGACUAAGCAGUGAG